This 1583-nucleotide long non-coding RNA is filed under the name Salmo salar (Atlantic salmon). RNAcentral's name for it is "lncRNA (ENSSSAG00000095810.1)". The record is from RNAcentral. Lineage: Eukaryota; Metazoa; Chordata; Actinopteri; Salmoniformes; Salmonidae.
UUGAAUGGUGUCUGUGAGUAUAACAGAACUCAUAUGGCAGGCCAAAACCUGAGAAGAUUCCAUACAGGAAGUGCCCUGUUUGACAAUUUGUUGUCCUUCUGUUGCAUCUCUAUCGACAUUACAGCAUCUCUGCUGUAACGUGACAUUUUCUAAGGCUUCCAUUGGCUCCCUAAAGCCGCCAGAAAGUGGAAUGGGGUGUCUGCUGUCGCUGGGCAAAGUACAGCAGCUCUGUUUGUGAGUGGUCAGCCUGGGGACAGUGAGACUGGAGAUGUGUGGUCACAAGACUUCUCCAUUUUUUUCUUUCAGCUUUUGAAUGAAUACAACGUUGCCCGGUUGGAAUAUUAUCGCUAUUUUACGAGAAAAAUAGCAUAAAAAUUGAUUUUAAACAGCGUUUGACAUGCUUCUAAGUACGGGAAUGGAAUAUUUUGAAUUUUUUUGUCACGAAAUGCGCUCGCACAUCACCCUUCGGAUAGUGACCUGAACGCGCGAACAAAACGGAACUAUGUGGAUAUAACUAUGGAUUACUUGGAACCAAAACAACAUUUGUUGUUGAAGUAGAAGUCCUGGGAGUGCAUUCUGACGGAGAACAGCAAAGGGGGCAGUAUUUUCACGGCCGGAUGAAAAACGUACCCAAAUUAAACUGCCUCCUACUCAGACUCAGAAGGCCUACUGCAAGUAGCCUAUAUGCAGCCAAGACAGAAAGAUAAAUGGGGUCAGAGACCCACUAAAGAAGCACCGCCCCCUCAAGAGUCUGGGCCUGCCUGGCAAUGUUCGUCCAAAAAGCCAAAGCCCCUGGGAAAUAUUAGGUUUUAUUACAUACAGUUGGGAGGAACCAUUGGACAUAAGAGCAACGUCAACUCACCAACAUUACAACCAGGAAUAUGACUUUCCCGAAGCGGAUCCUCUGUUUGGUCCACCACCCAGGACAAUGGAUCGGAUCCCAGCCGGCGACCCAAAACAACGGCACCGCAGAGGAUGCAGACGGAGCAGUCUUCUGGUCAGGCUCCGUAGACGGGCACCGCUCGAGCAUACUACUCGCCAAUGUCCAGUCUCUUGACAACAAGGUAGAUGAAAUCCGAGCAAGGGUUGCCUUCCAGAGAGACAUCAGAGAUUGUAACGUUCUUUGUUUCACGGAAACAUGGCUCACUCGGGAUACGUCAUCAGAGUCGGUACAGCCACCUGGCUUCUUCACGCAUCGUGCCAACAGAAACAAACAUAUCUCUGGUAAGAAGAAGGGCGGGGUGUAUGCCUUAUGAUUAACGAGACGUGGUGUGAUCAUAACAACAUACAGGAACUCAAGUCCCUUUGUUCACCUGACCUAGAAUUCCUUACUAUCAAAUGCCGACCGCAUGAUCUACCAAGAGAAUUCUCUUCGAUCAUAAUCACAGUCGUGUAUAUCCCGCCCCAAUCAGACACAUCGACGGCCCUGAAAGAACUUCAUUUGAUGCUAUGCAAACUGGAAACCUCAUAUCCUGAGGCUGCAUGUAUUGUAGCUGGGGAUUUUAACAAGGCUAAUCUGAAAACAAGGCUCCCUAAAUUUUAUCAGCAUAUUGAAUGCGCGACCCGGUCUGGCAAAACCAUGG